UACGGAGGGUGCGAGCGUUGUCCGGAAUCACUGGGCGUAAAGGGCGCGUAGGCGGCUCAUGAAGGCUGUGGUGAAAGUCCGGGGCUCAACCUCGGAUCGGCCGUGGCGACUCGUGGGGCUGGAGCACUGUAGAGGCGGGUGGAAUUCCGGGUGUAGCGGUGGAAUGCGUAGAGAUCCGGAAGAACACCAGUGGCGAAGGCGGCACUCUGGGACGGUACUGACGCUGAGACGCGAAAGCGUGGGGAGCGAACAGG
This 254-nucleotide ribosomal RNA is filed under the name uncultured bacterium. Its description in RNAcentral is "partial 16S ribosomal RNA". It matches the Rfam family "Bacterial small subunit ribosomal RNA", at positions 524 to 776 of the family's 1533-position model. The record is from RNAcentral.